This 467-nucleotide ribosomal RNA is filed under the name uncultured bacterium. RNAcentral's name for it is "partial 16S ribosomal RNA". It matches the Rfam family "Bacterial small subunit ribosomal RNA", at positions 29 to 507 of the family's 1533-position model. The record is from RNAcentral.
ACGAACGCUGGCGGCGUGCUUAACACAUGCAAGUCGAACGGAAAGGCCCUGCUUUUGUGGGGUGCUCGCGUGGCGAACGGGUGAGUAACACGUGAGUAACCUGCCCUUGACUUUGGGAUAACUUCAGGAAACUGGGGCUAAUACCGGAUAGGAGCUCCUGCUGCAUGGUGGGGGUUGGAAAGUUUCGGCGGUUGGGGAUGGACUCGCGGCUUAUCAGCUUGUUGGUGGGGUAGUGGCUUACCAAGGCUUUGACGGGUAGCCGGCCUGAGAGGGUGACCGGCCACAUUGGGACUGAGAUACGGCCCAGACUCCUACGGGAGGCAGCAGUGGGGAAUAUUGCACAAUGGGCGGAAGCCUGAUGCAGCAACGCCGCGUGCGGGAUGACGGCCUUCGGGUUGUAAACCGCUUUCGCCUGUGACGAAGCGUGAGUGACGGUAAUGAGUAAAGAAGCACCGGCUAACUACGUG